CUGGAGAGCAAUAGUUUCAUCCACAGAGAUCUGGUCUCUUCUCACACGGGAGCCAGGAACUGCCUGGUAAACGACUCCCUGAUGGUCAAGGUGUCUGACUUUGGCAUGGCCAGGUACGUUUUGGACGACCAGUACACCUCAUCAUCAGGAUCCAGGUUUCCAGUGAAGUGGUCGCCUCCUGAAGUCCUCAACUUCUGCAGACAUAGCAGCAAAUCUGAUGUCUGGUCCUACGGUG
Nerophis lumbriciformis (worm pipefish) is the source of this 235-nucleotide long non-coding RNA. RefSeq lists it as uncharacterized. Lineage: Eukaryota; Metazoa; Chordata; Actinopteri; Syngnathiformes; Syngnathidae. The record is from RefSeq and is a predicted model, not a curated record.